This 349-nucleotide ribosomal RNA is filed under the name Goniomonas pacifica. RNAcentral describes it as "partial Eukaryotic small subunit ribosomal RNA". It matches the Rfam family "Eukaryotic small subunit ribosomal RNA", at positions 1111 to 1482 of the family's 1831-position model. Lineage: Eukaryota; Cryptophyceae; Goniomonadida; Goniomonadaceae. The record is from RNAcentral.
GCUCGGGGGGGAGUAUGGUCGCAAGGCUGAAACUUAAAGAAAUUGACGGAAGGGCACCACAAGGCGUGGAGCCUGCGGCUUAAUUUGACCCAACACGGGGAAACUCACCAGGUCCAGACAUGCUUAGGAUUGACAGAUUGAUAGCUCUUUCUUGAUUGUAUGGGUGGUGGUGCAUGGCCGUUUUUAGUUGGUGGAGUGAUUUGUCUGCUUAAUUGCGAUAACGAACGAGACCUUGACCUGCUAAAUAGCCCAACUCACUUUUGUGGGUUGCUGGCUUCUUAGAGGGACUUUUGGCUCAAGCCAAUGGAAGUACGAGGCAAAAACAGGUCUGUGAUGCCCUUAGAUGUCC